Molecule: long non-coding RNA, 1988 nt
Organism: Benincasa hispida (wax gourd)
Lineage: Eukaryota; Viridiplantae; Streptophyta; Magnoliopsida; Cucurbitales; Cucurbitaceae
Source: RefSeq, a predicted model, not a curated record
CUUCUCAGAUUUUAUUAUAUAUUUGCAUUUUCUUGUUGAACAUUAUGUUUCUAUUCUUCAGUUUUUUUUUGUAUGGCUAUUUUUUUAGAUCUUAUAGAUAUGAACGAUUUUUUUUGGCAAAUCUAACUUUUUUUUUUUUUUUUUGUGUGUAGAUUUAAGUAUUUUUUUGGGUAAAUCUCACUACGUUUUUGGUAGAUCUAAAUAUUUUUUUUAACAGAUAUGAACAAUUUCUUGGUAGAUCUAACUUUUUUCUUGUUUAGGUUUGAAAUCUUUUCAAAUACUUGGUUUCUGGCUUAGGAUUUGUACGUUCUUGUUUGAAUUCCCUCAUAUUUUAUUCGUCCUUGCAUGCUUGAUUUUCCGAUUGUUAUUAGCUCUGUACUUUUUCGGGUUUGUUUUUGUUCUGAUUUAGCUUCCUGUCAUUUUGAGCAUCUUUUUUGUUUGCAUGUUUAUGAUUAGGGCUUAUUCUUAUAAUUUGUUCUUCGUCUCUUAUGAUUUUUUUCCACUCCUGGUAUGUUAUUCCAACCAAGUCCCUAUUAUUUUUUUUCCAUUUAUAUCGUAUUAACUUCUUCAUCUCUAUUCUUUCUUCUCCUGCUUAUAUAUGUUCUGUUUGUCUUUGUCUUCCCUACUUUUUUUUCCAAAUUACCUCUUGCCGCUUCAAUAAUAAACCAUGUAUCCUUCAUUUUCCAUUUUUUUUUCCAUCAAACUUGGACAGCGAGUAAAUCCUUAGUAGGGGAUACCAACCAUGUUAUUGGAGCUUGGUGGGAGUCCAAUCCACCCCACAAUAGGUUUAUUUUCUAAUAUUUUUUCCCUCAAGGCCAAUGAUGAUUUGUUUCAAAAUUCUGCACUCUAACUUUUCUAGUAUGAUUUCCGAUAUGAUUUUAUUUCAUUUCGAUAAUUAGAUUAAAAAAUUCUACAUCAUUGUUUUUUUCUUAUGUUUUAUGGACUGCUUUGUAAUUUCUUCCUUCGUAUAUAAUCAAUUUUUUUGGUGUUUUAGUUUGACCAAUGGAUUUUUUUUACAUUUGAAAUUGUUUUCAGUAUUCAACUAAAUUCAGUUUUCGUACACUUAAAUUGAACUUCAAUUUUACAACUGUUGCAACUGUUUACUUUGUUUGUUUGGAAUUGAAUUUCUUCCAAUGAAAGAUCUGUACCAAAUCCUAAGACCCUCUAAUCUUUAUUCUUAUGUCCAUUUAUGUGUGAGAUAUUAUGUUAUCUUUAUGUCCAUUUUCAGUAGAUUUAUUUUAUGGUCAACCACCUAAAAUUGAUAUUGAACUGACCCUUACUUACUUUAUUUAUGUUUGAGUUGACUCACUUUAUUAUAGGUAUAACGAAUUUACUAUUUGAACUUAUUGAGGUUAGGUGCACUUAAAUGCACCUAACUCUCCUCACCAACCAUUCUUAUUGUAUCUUCUACUUUUAUCUUAAUUCCUCAUAUUUUUUGAGACUUCUCUACAGCCUCCUUUGAUAUACUUGUUGAUACAUCCCUGCUCUAACCUUUUUUUUUUUUUUUCAAGUUUUCUUUAAACCGUUUUUACAUUCUUAUAUAUGUGGUUUGUCUGUUACAAUAUGUUCUAUUUUUUUCUUCUACCUCUGACUUCAACUUUAUUCCAUACAUAUAAGGUAGCUAACAAAUGAGAGAUUGCCCUAUACAAGGUAUGCUUCCUUUCUCCCUUAUAUUCCAAGUAAGAUCUAUCAUUAACGUUUUCAUGUCUCUGUUAGGCAACAUCUAUUUUCUGCCCCCUUAUGUGUGGACCGUCUCGAAUACCAUUCACUCUGAACAUAGUCGAAAGGAGCCAAACUAAUCGAACAUGCAUUUCGUAACUAGUUUGAGGUUCGUAAGUUUUACGUUCGGAGUAAUAUUUGUUAUAGUCUACUGUUUGUUGCUUGACUUGGUGAACAUUUGUAAUGCACUAUGGUUUUAUAUUUUUUUUUCACUUGUAUAUUGACAUUGUUGAAAACUUUUUUCUUUGUGGACUUUGAUUUGUUGUAAA